Unclassified non-coding RNA from Megachile rotundata (alfalfa leafcutting bee), 1927 nucleotides. Lineage: Eukaryota; Metazoa; Arthropoda; Insecta; Hymenoptera; Megachilidae. The record is from RefSeq and is a predicted model, not a curated record.
ACACAUUACAAAUUAUUUUUUGACAAUUUGGUAUAGAAUAUAAAUAACAGCUACGCGUUAUUCUUAUAAGUCAAUGGUUGUACACCUGCCGUAGCAACCAAUGUUUUUACUUAGUUUAAAAUUACUUGCUACCAGUGUUAGGGGUAGUAUAAGUACUUUCCUAAACUACAAAAUACGUAUUUAAUAUCGUACGAUUAAGUAAAAGUAAUGUUAAAUAUAACUGCACAGUGUAAAGUAUAAAUUAUGUUGGAAACACGUUCAGCUGUUUAUAAAAUGUUAGAAGUGGCGCGCAAAGAGCGACAGAUUGAUAACUGGCCACCACCAUUUUCUUCGGAUAUUACAUUAUACAACGAAAGAAAUUUCGAUACAAUUGUUAGACAAUCGUGCAUGAGAAAGUGUAUAACUUUGAAAAUUUCUAAGGCAAUAGUAAUAGGAGAUGUUUCAGUUGGAAAAUCAUGCCUAAUAAAUCGAUUUUGUCACAAAGUAUUUGACAAUAACUACAAAGCAACAAUUGGUGUGGAUUUUGAGGUAGAAAGGUUUGAUAUUCUGGGCAUACCAUUUCACUUACAAAUAUGGGACACAGCUGGCCAAGAAAGAUUUAAGUCUAUAGCUGCAGCUUAUUAUAGAGGGGCAAACGUGAUCAUGGUUGUGUUUGAUCUGGCCAACUUGCUAUCUUUAGGACAUUGUCAACAAUGGUUCAGUGAAGCUGCUCAAUGUAACAGGGAACCAUAUCAUGUGUUUUUAAUAGGCACCAAACGUGACUUACUGUCGAAUCAGGUAUACGAGGUAAUUGAAAAACGAGCGGCAGAAAUAGCGCGAAAAAUGAAAGCCGAGUUUUGGGUCGUUUCUGCAAGAACAGGUGACGGGGUUUCAGAAUUAUUUACAAGAGUUGCAGUACUAUCUUUUCACAGUAUGGUUCUUCAUGAAUUGCAAAAUAUGAAACCAGAAUCAAUUAGCAUUGGCUCAGACCUGAUAAAAUUAAAUCCUCAAAAGGAAAAAAUUCAGAGGAAGAGAAGAAACAAAUGCAUUAAUUGCACGAAUAUAUAAAAUAACAUUAAUGGUUAUGCGCAACGAUAGCCGAAGUGUAAGUGUAAAAUCAAAAACAUGAACUUGAAUUUUAGUUUCUAUUUCAGUAACGUUUUAUUAUAGUAGUAUAAUUUAAAUAGACCGCGCACAAAAUAAUCUUCCGGCUGGGUAUGGGUGAGUGGACUCAUCCGAUGAUUCUUCUUCGUUCUUCGCGUUAUUCUAUCCUCUUUUGAACUCAGAUUAGCUCAGAUACUUCACGCAACCGGAAAAGAUACGUUCUGCUGACAGUUCGGGAGGUAGUCGGCUACACGAUCGGAUUAGAAGAAAUCAUUUCUUGUGUUCGAUGUCGACGUGUCUAAUACGCAUACUCUAUUAGGUACGUCGAUUUUCACUAUAGUGAUACCAACGUUUUUUUCAAGUGAGUUCAACGUACCGAGACAAAAAUUGAAAUAAGAACUAGUGUUGUCACGUGGUUAUUGCUUGCCUUGGAUUUUCUUCUAGAAAAAGAAUAGAUUAAUUCGUAAUCAAAAUUUGAUUCAUCCGAAGACGAUUCCUUAGAUUGCGUCAAUUUCCGUGUUGGAAAAAUUAAAUACAAUCCUACUGUCGUGACGAAAGUAAGCGAGCCAUCAACUGAACAGAUGAACGAAUAAACGUCACUAAGAUGACAGCGGUGUUGCUUAUGCGUGCGUGUGGGUAUUAUGUGUAUAGUGUAUGCUUCUACGUGCCAUUCGAUAAUGUCACGUAUGCACAGAUACACAGGGUCGUUCGGUAAUGACUUGCCACUUCUCGGUUCUCCACGUGACGAGGACGUGCAGCGUCGAUUCUUCAGCAUAACAUCACGAACCUGCCACCAGUGAUCAUUGUCUUGUGAACGUGUAUUUUCCAGAAUUCGUAGUGAUCG